Molecule: non-coding RNA, 568 nt
Organism: Pantherophis guttatus
Lineage: Eukaryota; Metazoa; Chordata; Lepidosauria; Squamata; Colubridae
Source: RefSeq, a predicted model, not a curated record
UCACCACUUAUUUAUUAAACGACACCACAUCUGACAAUUCAUCUGGUAAAGACUUAUGUGAACUGCAUAUAUGCAGAGGUAGGGACUUUCAGAUGUGACACUCUGGACCCUGGCAAACUGUAACUCACAGCAAUUCCAUGGCCAAUGAUGAGGACUGGUAGAACCUGGGACUCCAGCAGUUGGGUAUACAGUUAGGAGUUCCAUGCUGAUGAUAUCCAAUUAUAUCUUUCAAUCUAAGUCUGGCAAAGUGAGGCUGUUGAUUUAUAUCCCAGCACGUGGAGGUUGGGUAACCUCUGAUUCAAUCCACUAACCUAGAAGUGAAGCAUUGGGACCCUGGAAGAUGACAGACUGUGAGUGAAAUCCUUGUGUGAUGGAAGAGGAGACAUUUGCAUACCUCUUGGGAAAAUGUAUGCCUCAAGGGAAUUUCACUAAAAUUCUUUCUUUACUCCGAAAUAAAUUUCAACAUUAAAUUCGCCUUCAUUAAACCAGCAAAAGUUUGCAAGUUCUCCCGGGAGUAUCACCCAAUUCUUUGCCAGAACAAGAUGAUGCGCAGGAUCCCCAAAGAGGA